This is a long non-coding RNA of Malaya genurostris, 312 nucleotides long. RefSeq lists it as uncharacterized. Lineage: Eukaryota; Metazoa; Arthropoda; Insecta; Diptera; Culicidae. The record is from RefSeq and is a predicted model, not a curated record. The transcript has 3 exons.
CUUUGUGGGCCAUUCGUGAGCUAAGAGCUAAACUCGUAAGUUCAGGAAAAACUCAAAGACCUUUUCGUUUUCUGGCGCCGGUAUCAGAGUUCGCCGUUUUUUUCUUUCCUUUGUGCUGUUGCUAAGGACGGCUAAGACCGCUCACGGUCCAUCUUGCAACAGAGUUCAUCGUUUAUCAGCAAACUUUGUUUUCGGAAACUACAAUAUGACCUGUAUGAUAACACCGAUGACACGCCAGACUCCGCUGCUCCAAGUCCAUCUUCAAAUAUCCCGUUGGAAAAACUCGAAGGCGAAACCAGUGGAAACAAAGAC